CCUACGGGUGGCUGCAGUGGGGCAUAUUGGGCAAUGGGCGCAAGCCUGACCCAGCAACGCCGCGUGAAGGAAGAAGGCUUUCGGGUUGUAAACUUCUUUUCUCAGGGACGAAGAAAGUGACGGUACUUGAGGAAUAAGCCACGGCUAACUACGUGCCAGCAGCCGCGGUAAGCCGUAGGUGGCAAGCGUUAUCCGGAUUUACUGGGUGUAAAGGGCGUGUAGGCGGGACUGCAAGUCAGAUGUGAAAACCACGGGCUCAACCUGUGGCCUGCAUGUGAAACUGUAGUUCUUGAGUACUGGAGAGGCAGACGGAAUUCCUAGUGUAGCGGUGAAAUGCGUAGAUAUUAGGAAGAACACCAGUGGCGAAGGCGGACUGCUGGACAGCAACUGACGCUGAGGCGCGAAAGCGUGGGGAGCAAACAGGAUUAGAUACCCUUGUAGUC
RNAcentral lists this ribosomal RNA (443 nucleotides) under uncultured bacterium. RNAcentral's name for it is "partial 16S ribosomal RNA". It matches the Rfam family "Bacterial small subunit ribosomal RNA", at positions 338 to 795 of the family's 1533-position model. The record is from RNAcentral.